GAAAUGUGUUUUUAAGGAAAAACUCUUUCUCGAGAGCUUUUCGCAUGUGGAAAUGGUGAAAUCCGGAUUUGCUGCUUGUCUUCUUUAAAUAAAGACGUGGCUCCAGUUGGUGUUGAAUGUCCUGUCUCUACAGAUUUGGAUAGUCUAUACCAGGGGUAGGCAAACUCAGUCCUGGAGGGCCGGUGUCCUGCACAGUUUAGCACCAGCUCUAAUCAAACACUCAAACAUCAAACACCAUCUCAAAAGAGUCAUGGAUGGAUGAAGUCAAGCUCUAGACUUUAAUGAAAACAUCACUUUCUCAUGGAGACCAGUCUUGCCAGGUUUUCCCAGAAGAAUGAACAUGAAAGUAAGUACAAACAUAGAAACCAUGUGAAAACUGAGAUGAUAUUCUUCAUUUCAUUGUAAAGAGUGACCCCUCACCCCAAUCCACACAUUUUGGAUAGAGAAAAAAGUCAUAAGCAAAACUUACUUAUUGAUGUUGGCUUCGCUAAAGGCUUGUAACCUCAGAUGUGUUGGACCCUGAUCUGCAGCUCACAGGUGUGGAGAAGAAUUACACAGACACCAGAGUCUGUUUGAUUUAAAGCACCUCCUACUCAUUUUAAUAAAUAUUCAUAUGCUCAAAGAAAAA
Non-coding RNA from Danio rerio (zebrafish), 628 nucleotides. NCBI's taxonomy places the organism in Eukaryota, Metazoa, Chordata, Actinopteri, Cypriniformes, Danionidae. The record is from RefSeq and is a predicted model, not a curated record.